RNAcentral lists this microRNA precursor (129 nucleotides) under Prunus dulcis (almond). RNAcentral describes it as "sRNA ncRNA". The record is from RNAcentral. Lineage: Eukaryota; Viridiplantae; Streptophyta; Magnoliopsida; Rosales; Rosaceae.
CUUGGACUCCUGUGGUCCAAGAGAUCGGAACUGAUAUUAUAUGUAUGUAUAUAUAUUAUAUAUAUUAUAAAAUGCAUAUAUACAUAUAUAUAUAUACAGUCCUGAUCUCUUGGACCCAUGUAGUCUAAG